AUGAUUUCCACACCACAGAGGUUCUACGAUGACCUCUUUGCUUUACACCCAUGGUGGUGGAGGAAGCCAUCCCACUACUCGAUUGGUGUGACCUUCGGCUUCGAUAUUGGGAUCGGUAUGGAGUUCGAGAGUGUGAUGAUCAGUAUAGGCAUUUUGCUCAGGUGGGGGCAUGGUAUAGGCAUGUUGCUCGGGUGGGGGCAUGGUAGUGUGAUCGGUGCUACUAGGGUUGAGACUAUACUCCAUUUCCCCAAGACCGAAACCGGAGAGUGGGAAGGUAGUAUUGUCAUGGUCAUCCAUGUUUGA
Molecule: ribosomal RNA, 303 nt
Filed under: Triticum aestivum (bread wheat)
Lineage: Eukaryota; Viridiplantae; Streptophyta; Magnoliopsida; Poales; Poaceae
Description: partial small subunit ribosomal RNA
Source: RNAcentral